RNAcentral lists this small RNA (333 nucleotides) under uncultured bacterium. RNAcentral's name for it is "bacterial SSU rRNA". It matches the Rfam family "Bacterial small subunit ribosomal RNA", at positions 69 to 358 of the family's 1533-position model. The record is from RNAcentral.
GAAAGUCGGCUUCGGCUGGCAAGUACCGUGGCGAACGGGUGAGUAACACGUGGGUAAUCUGCCCUUGAGUCUGGGAUAACCUUGCGAAAGCGAGGCUAAUACCGGAUAAGACCACGCCCUGUACGCAGGGUGCGGUAAAAGGUGGCCUCUUCCUGAAAGCUAUCACUCGAGGAUGAGCCCGCGGCCUAUUAGCUAGUUGGUAGGGUAACGGCCUACCAGGGCGAAGAUGGGUAGCCGGCCUGAGAGGGUGUACGGCCACACUUUUUUUUUGACACGNUGAAGACUCUACGUGUAGUCCUCUGUGGGGAUUCUAGAAGUCUCCUACAAAUUUCA